GGUUAAGUGACUAAGCGUACACGGUGGAUGCCUUGGCAGUCAGAGGCGAUGAAAGACGUAGUAACUUGCGAUAAGCCCAGAUUAGGUAGUAACAACCAUUUGAGUCUGGGAUUUCUGAAUGGGGAAACCCACGUGCAUAAGCACGUAUCCUUACCUGAAUACAUAGGGUAAGGAGGCGAACCGGGGGAACUGAAACAUCUAAGUACCCCGAGGAAAAGAAAUCAACCGAGAUUCCGAAAGUAGCGGCGAGCGAAAUUGGACUAGCCCUUAAGCUUUACACGCGUUAGACGAACGGUCUGGAAAGUCCGACGAUACAGGGUGAUAGUCCCGUAGUUGACGACGUGUGUUCAGUGAAAUCGAGUAGGGCGGGACACGUGAUAUCCUGUCUGAAUAUGGGGGGACCAUCCUCCAAGGCUAAAUACUACUGACUGACCGAUAGUGAACCAGUACCGUGAGGGAAAGGCGAAAAGAACCCCUGUGAGGGGAGUGAAAUAGAACCUGAAACCGUGUACGUACAAGCAGUAGGAGCAGGCUUUGUCCUGUGACUGCGUACCUUUUGUAUAAUGGGUCAGCGACUUAUAUUCAGUGGCAAGGUUAACCAUCUAGGGGAGCCGUAGGGAAACCGAGUCUUAACUGGGCGUUCAGUCUCUGGAUAUAGACCCGAAACCAGGUGAUCUAGCCAUGGGCAGGUUGAAGGUUGAGUAACAUCAACUGGAGGACCGAACCGACUAAUGUUGAAAAAUUAGCGGAUGACUUGUGGCUAGGGGUGAAAGGCCAAUCAAACCUGGAGAUAGCUGGUUCUCCCCGAAAGCUAUUUAGGUAGCGCCUCGGACGAAUACUACUGGGGGUAGAGCACUGUUAAGGCUAGGGGGUCAUCCCGACUUACCAACCCUUUGCAAACUCCGAAUACCAGUAAGUACUAUCCGGGAGACACACGGCGGGUGCUAACGUCCGUCGUGGAGAGGGAAACAACCCAGACCGCCAGCUAAGGUCCCAAAUUACUACUAAGUGGGAAACGAUGUGGGAAGGCUCAGACAGCCAGGAUGUUGGCUUAGAAGCAGCCAUCAUUUAAAGAAAGCGUAAUAGCUCACUGGUCGAGUCGGCCUGCGCGGAAGAUGUAACGGGGCUAAGUAGUAAACCGAAGCUGCGGCAAUGUGCUUUUGCACAUUGGGUAGGGGAGCGUUCUGUAAGCGGUUGAAGGUGUGUGGUAACGCAUGCUGGACGUAUCAGAAGUGCGAAUGCUGACAUGAGUAACGAUAAAGGGGGUGAAAAACCUCCUCGCCGGAAGACCAAGGGUUCCUGUCCAACGUUAAUCGGGGCAGGGUAAGUCGACCCCUAAGGCGAGGCCGAAAGGCGUAGUCGAUGGGAAACGGGUUAAUAUUCCCGUACUUCUUACAAUUGCGAUGGGGGGACGGAGAAGGCUAGGUGGGCCUGGCGACGGUUGUCCAGGUUCAAGUGCGUAGGCUUAAGAGUUAGGUAAAUCCGGCUCUUUUUAAGGCUGAGACACGACGUCGAGCACCUACGGGUGUGAAGUCAUUGAUGCCAUGCUUCCAGGAAAAGCCUCUAAGCUUCAGAUUGUAAGGAAUCGUACCCCAAACCGACACAGGUGGUCGGGUAGAGAAUACCAAGGCGCUUGAGAGAACUCGGGUGAAGGAACUAGGCAAAAUGGUACCGUAACUUCGGGAGAAGGUAC
This 1693-nucleotide ribosomal RNA is filed under the name Vibrio parahaemolyticus. RNAcentral describes it as "partial 23S ribosomal RNA". It matches the Rfam family "Bacterial large subunit ribosomal RNA", at positions 1 to 1749 of the family's 2925-position model. The record is from RNAcentral. Lineage: Bacteria; Pseudomonadati; Pseudomonadota; Gammaproteobacteria; Vibrionales; Vibrionaceae.